RNAcentral lists this ribosomal RNA (388 nucleotides) under uncultured bacterium. RNAcentral's name for it is "bacterial SSU rRNA". It matches the Rfam family "Bacterial small subunit ribosomal RNA", at positions 29 to 433 of the family's 1533-position model. The record is from RNAcentral.
AACGAACGCUGGCGGCAUGCCUAACACAUGCAAGUCGAACGUGAUCCGGGGCUUCGGCUCCGGUGAAAGUGGCGGACGGGUGAGUAACGCGUGGGAACCUGCCCAGUGGUAGGGGAUAACCGCGGGAAACUGCGGCUAAUACCCUAUGCGCCCUAUGGGGCAAAGAUUUAUCGCCAUUGGAGGGGCCCGCGUCGGAUUAGGUAGUUGGUGAGGUAACGGCUCACCAAGCCUUCGAUCCGUAGCUGGCUGAGAGGAUGAUCAGCCACACUGGGACUGAGACACGGCCCAGACUCCUACGGGAGGCAGCAGUGGGGAGUAUUGGACAAUGGGGGCAACCCUGAUCCAGCAAUGCCGCGUGAGUGAUGAAGGCCUUAGGGUUGUAAAGCUC